UACGUAGGAUGCAAGCGUUGUCUGGAAUUACUGGGCGUAAAGGGCGAGCAGGUGGCAAGUCAAGUCUGAUGUAAAAUCUCCCGGCUUAACUGGGAGGGGCCAUUGGAAACUGGCUAGCUGGAGUGCAGGAGAGGCUAACGGAAUUCCCGGUGUAGUGGUGAAAUGCGUAGAUAUCAGGAGGAACACCAAUGGCGAAGGCAGCUCGCUGGGACGGUACUGACGCUGAGGCGCGAAAGCGUGGGGAGCAAACAGG
This 253-nucleotide ribosomal RNA is filed under the name uncultured bacterium. RNAcentral's name for it is "partial 16S ribosomal RNA". It matches the Rfam family "Bacterial small subunit ribosomal RNA", at positions 524 to 776 of the family's 1533-position model. The record is from RNAcentral.